UCUCUUCUGACUUAUGGCACUCGCUAUUUGCUCGUUUAGGUUCACAUUCGCAUCAACAUGCAAGUGAUAAAGACUGUCAAUUAAAAUACCUUAUGCAACGAAUUUAUUUCAUAAAUAAAUGGAACAAAAAUUUUUAUUGAAAUAAAUUUCAAAACCUUCUUGUGCUAGCGCAAAUACAAAAAUUAAAUUCUGACUAGCUAC
This 201-nucleotide long non-coding RNA is filed under the name Elaeis guineensis (African oil palm). RNAcentral's name for it is "long non-coding RNA (EGUI_LNC028866)". Lineage: Eukaryota; Viridiplantae; Streptophyta; Magnoliopsida; Arecales; Arecaceae. The record is from RNAcentral.